UUGAACGCUGGCGGCAUGCUUUACGCAUGCAAGUCGAACGGCAGCGCGGGGGCAACCCUGGCGGCGAGUGGCGAACGGGUGAGUAACAUAUCGGAACAUAUCCGGAAGUGGGGGAUAACGUACCGAAAGGUACGCUAAUACCGCAUAUGCCCCGAGGGGGAAAGGGGGGGAUCGCAAGACCUCUCGCUCUCGGAGUGGCCGAUAUCGGAUUAGCUAGAUGGUGGGAUAAAGGCUCACCAUGGCGACGAUCCGUAGCUGGUCUGAGAGGACGACCAGCCACACUGGGACUGAGACACGGCCCAGACUCCUACGGGAGGCAGCAGUGGGGAAUUUUGGACAAUGGGGGCAACCCUGAUCCAGCCAUGCCGCGUGAGUGAAGAAGGCCUUCGGGUUGUAAAGCUCUUUCAGACGGAAAGAAACGGUCGCGGCGAAUACCCGCGACUAAUGACGGUACCGUAAGAAGAAGCACCGGCUAACUACGU
This 482-nucleotide ribosomal RNA is filed under the name uncultured bacterium. Its description in RNAcentral is "bacterial SSU rRNA". It matches the Rfam family "Bacterial small subunit ribosomal RNA", at positions 29 to 506 of the family's 1533-position model. The record is from RNAcentral.